UACGAAGGGGGCUAGCGUUGUUCGGAAUUACUGGGCGUAAAGCGCACGUAGGCGGAUAUGUAAGUCAGUGGUGAAAUCUCUAGGCUUAACCUGGAAAUUGCCGUUGAUACUAUAUAUCUUGAAUGCUGUGGAGGUAAGCGGAAUAUGUCAUGUAGCGGUGAAAUGCUUAGAUAUGACAUAGAACACCUAGUGCGAAGGCAGCUUACUACGCAGAUAUUGACGCUCAUGCACGAAAGCGUGGGGAUCAAACAGG
RNAcentral lists this ribosomal RNA (253 nucleotides) under uncultured bacterium. RNAcentral's name for it is "partial 16S ribosomal RNA". It matches the Rfam family "Bacterial small subunit ribosomal RNA", at positions 524 to 776 of the family's 1533-position model. The record is from RNAcentral.